RNAcentral lists this ribosomal RNA (251 nucleotides) under uncultured prokaryote. RNAcentral's name for it is "partial 16S rRNA". It matches the Rfam family "Bacterial small subunit ribosomal RNA", at positions 525 to 775 of the family's 1533-position model. The record is from RNAcentral.
ACGAAGGGAGCUAGCGUUGUUCGGAAUUACUGGGCGUAAAGGGUGCGUAGGCGGUUCGAUAAGUCAGAUGUGAAAGCCCUGGGCUCAACCCGGGAACUGCGUUUGAGACUGUCGAGCUUGAAUUCGGUAGAGGUGAGUGGAAUUCCCAGUGUAGAGGUGAAAUUCGUAGAUAUUGGGAAGAACACCGGUGGCGAAGGCGGCUCACUGGACCGACAUUGACGCUGAGGCACGAAAGCGUGGGGAGCAAACAG